RNAcentral lists this ribosomal RNA (292 nucleotides) under uncultured bacterium. RNAcentral's name for it is "partial 16S ribosomal RNA". It matches the Rfam family "Bacterial small subunit ribosomal RNA", at positions 505 to 796 of the family's 1533-position model. The record is from RNAcentral.
GUGCCAGCCGCCGCGGUAAUACGGAGGGUGCAAGCGUUGUUCGGAAUUAUUGGGCGUAAAGAGCGUGUAGGCGGUAUGAUAAGUCAGAUGUGAAAGCCCUGGGCUUAACCUAGGAAGUGCAUUUGAUACUGUCAUUCUUGAGUAUGGGAGAGGAGAGUGGAAUUCCCAGUGUAGAAGUGAAAUUCGUAGAUAUUGGGAGGAACACCCGUGGCGAAGGCGACUCUCUGGACCAAUACUGACGCUGAGACGCGAAAGCGUGGGGAGCAAACAGGAUUAGAAACCCGCGUAGUCC